RNAcentral lists this ribosomal RNA (600 nucleotides) under Triticum aestivum (bread wheat). RNAcentral describes it as "partial small subunit ribosomal RNA". Lineage: Eukaryota; Viridiplantae; Streptophyta; Magnoliopsida; Poales; Poaceae. The record is from RNAcentral.
AUGCCUCAGAUUGGUAUGAAAUUUAAUUCCACAAAAGAGGCUUGGAACUUUUGGACAUGUUAUGGAGGUCAUAUUGGUUUUGAUGUAAGGAUAAAUUAUGAAAACAAGAGCAAACUCGAUGGAGUAAUCACUUCAGCAAGAUAUGUUUGUUCCAAUGAGGGCUACAGAAGAAAAGACAAAAGGGAUAAUAAUACAAAGCGUCCUCGUGCAGAAACAAGGACCGGCUGCAAUGUUCGAAUGGGAAUCACUAUAGACCGAGAAGCAGGAAAUUAUGAGGUGCAUGAGUUAGUUGUUGAACACAUCCAUGUGUUGCAAUUACCUGGGGCAAGCCACUUGAUGCCAUCACAGAGGAAAAUUUCGGCCUUGCAAGCAUUUGAAAUUGAAACAGCGGAUGAUUCAGGAAUUGUACCUAAAAAAGCCCAUGAGUUAGCAAAUCGACAAGUUGGUAGUCCACUGAACCUUGGCUACACAUGUCGUGAUCGCAAGAACCACUUGCGAACCAGGCGUCAAAGGGACUUGAUGUAUGGUGAAGUUGGAAGUAUGCUCAAGUAUUUUAGAGAUAAAAAGAAUGAGAAUCCUGCAUUUGAAUAUGACAUGUAA